UAAAGCUAAGAACAGUUGCGAAAAAUCAUGAGAUCGUCUUGAAACAAGUGUUGCCACCAGCCACCCUUCCCAGUGCUGCCACCAGCCGACGGCCUUCUACAACGACAAGUAAACGCACCACUCGUUUGCCCUUUGCGACUGCAGUACGCACCACCACAACAGAGGCGGAAAACCCUUCCACGGAACUUGUUCCCCGUGGAUCAUCGCCAGUACCGUAAUCAACCACGACCAAUGAACUGGAAGAUUCGGAACAUAAUUCAACGGCGACGACUGAACUUUCCGUGCAGCAAACUACAACCUUAGCUACUUCUACAUUUAAAGCUGAUGCCGCAACGACCACUGGAUUAAGAGGAUGGGCACGGAGCGACAAUGCCUUCGAUAUGGACGCCACAAUCAACGAAUUUACAUCUCGAAUCAACAGCCAACUGACCCAGAUGAAAAUGAACAUGCUCCCGAUAUUCAGCGCUUUUCCUGCAUCUGGUGGAUUCAGUCCGUUUCCCAAU
Long non-coding RNA from Paramacrobiotus metropolitanus, 503 nucleotides. RefSeq lists it as uncharacterized. The transcript is spliced from 3 exons. NCBI's taxonomy places the organism in Eukaryota, Metazoa, Tardigrada, Eutardigrada, Parachela, Macrobiotidae. The record is from RefSeq and is a predicted model, not a curated record.